CGGUAGCAGCUCUAGCUUGCUAGAGGCUGACGAGUGGCGGACGGGUGAGUAACGCGUAGGAAUCUGCCUUACAGUGGGGGACAACUCGAGGAAACUCGAGCUAAUACCGCAUACGCUCUACGGAGGAAAGCUGGGGUAACCUGGCGCUGUUAGAUGAGCCUGCGUCGGAUUAGCUUGUUGGUGGGGUAAAGGCCCACCAAGGCGACGAUCCGUAGCUGUUCUGAGAGGAAGAUCAGCCACACUGGAACUGAGACACGGUCCAGACUCCUACGGGAGGCAGCAGUGGGGAAUAUUGGACAAUGGGGGAAACCCUGAUCCAGCAAUACCGCGUGUGUGAAGAAGGCCUGCGGGUUGUAAAGCACUUUCAGUUGGGAAGAAGUUGCGCCCUUAAAUAGGGGGCGUAAUUGACGUUACUAACAGAAGAAGCACCGGCUAACUCUGUGCCAGCAGCCGCGGUAAUACAGAGGGUGCAAGCGUUAAUCGGAAUCACUGGGCGUAAAGCGUGUGUAGGUGGUUAGGUAAGUUGGAUGUGAAAGCCCUGGGCUCAACCUGGGAAUUGCAUUCAAUACUGCUUAACUAGAGUACAGUAGAGGAAAGUGGAAUUUCCGGUGUAGCGGUGAAAUGCAUAGAUAUCGGAAGGAACACCAGUGGCGAAGGCGGCUUUCUGGCCUGAUACUGACACUGAGACACGAAAGCGUGGGGAGCAAACAGGAUUAGAUACCCUGGUAGUCCACGCCGUAAACGAUGAUAACUAGCUGUCCGGGUUCACAGAACUUGGGUGGCGCAGCUAACGCAUUAAGU
RNAcentral lists this ribosomal RNA (801 nucleotides) under uncultured bacterium. RNAcentral's name for it is "bacterial SSU rRNA". It matches the Rfam family "Bacterial small subunit ribosomal RNA", at positions 67 to 865 of the family's 1533-position model. The record is from RNAcentral.